Long non-coding RNA from Limanda limanda (common dab), 277 nucleotides. RefSeq lists it as uncharacterized. The record is from RefSeq and is a predicted model, not a curated record. NCBI's taxonomy places the organism in Eukaryota, Metazoa, Chordata, Actinopteri, Pleuronectiformes, Pleuronectidae. The transcript is spliced from 3 exons.
UCAGAGGGAACAGCUUCGUAAUCCACCACAGUGAGCUGCGGACACUUAGACCUCACCAGUGGCUUACAGGCGAGGUCAUUGAGUGUCUUUUGCAUCCCUUUUCCAAUGAGCUCCAUUUGGGGAGAAUGAUUUAUAUUCUAAAUCAUUACACGGCUGGUGUGAUCCUCUUUGGGAAGAGAGAACAGAUCAGGAGGAACACUUUGUCUAAGAUCAACUUUGACAACUAUAAAGCAAUUGUGUCUUUUGUGAACAUACACAAUUCCCACUGGAAGCUUCU